Molecule: transfer RNA, 71 nt
Filed under: Camelus bactrianus (Bactrian camel)
Lineage: Eukaryota; Metazoa; Chordata; Mammalia; Artiodactyla; Camelidae
Also listed under: 1 other name
Rfam family: tRNA
About the family: Transfer RNA (tRNA) molecules are approximately 80 nucleotides in length. Their secondary structure includes four short double-helical elements and three loops (D, anti-codon, and T loops).
Source: Rfam by way of RNAcentral
GAGAACAUAGCUCAGUGGCAGAGCUGCUGCUUGGCAUAUAGGAAGUCCUGGGUUCAAUGCCCAGUGCCUCU